GGGGAUAUAGCUCAGUGGUACAGCAUUCGACUGCAGAUUGAGAGGUCCCGGUUCAAACCCGGGUGCCCCCU
RNAcentral lists this transfer RNA (71 nucleotides) under Trichonephila inaurata madagascariensis. It matches the Rfam family "tRNA". From Rfam's summary of the family: Transfer RNA (tRNA) molecules are approximately 80 nucleotides in length. The record is from Rfam by way of RNAcentral. Lineage: Eukaryota; Metazoa; Arthropoda; Arachnida; Araneae; Nephilidae.